AGAGUUCGAUUCUGGCUCAGGACGAACGCUGGCGGCGUGCCUAACACAUGCAAGUCGAACGGAAGCAAAGAUUUCGGUUUUUGCUUUAGUGGCGAACGGGUGAGUAACGCGUGAGGAACCUGCCUUUCAGUGGGGGACAACAGUUGGAAACGACUGCUAAUACCGCAUAAUGCUUUUUGAUGGCAUCAUUGAAAAGCCAAAGAUUUAUUGCUGAAAGAUGGCCUCGCGUCUGAUUAGCUAGUUGGUGGGGUAACGGCCCACCAAGGCGACGAUCAGUAGCCGGUCUGAGAGGAUGAACGGCCACAUUGGGACUGAGAUACGGCCCAG
This 327-nucleotide ribosomal RNA is filed under the name uncultured bacterium. RNAcentral describes it as "bacterial SSU rRNA". It matches the Rfam family "Bacterial small subunit ribosomal RNA", at positions 8 to 334 of the family's 1533-position model. The record is from RNAcentral.